AUCCACCUGACGAAUCCCAAAUAGGACGAAACGUUCGUUCUGGAU
RNAcentral lists this non-coding RNA (45 nucleotides) under Schistosoma mansoni. The record is from RNAcentral. Lineage: Eukaryota; Metazoa; Platyhelminthes; Trematoda; Strigeidida; Schistosomatidae.